AAUGAACAGAGAAAAGUUGGAGAUCACGUAGCAUUUUCUUCUUGUUAAGGUAAGUGGGAGGUUUUUCACCUUUUCCAGCUAUAUUCAGCUGAAAUAUACUUCUGCUGCAUUUAACUUCAUUGGUAAUAAUAAAGCUGAAUAGAGAGCAAAACAAAUUUACUCCAAAAUAUUUACUCCAAAAAGGUCAUUCAGUCAUACUCUAAGAUAGGAACCCAUUUCUCUCUCAUUUACAAUUCCAGUUGAAGUUUUUAAAGUAUCAUUGACAUGUCCAUGUAUUCUCUUACCAAAGACUAAGGAAGAUUUUUCAAAAUUAAUGCAUUGUCCAGAAGCUUUUCCAUAGAUCCUAAAUGUUUUUAUGAUUUCAUCGCAUUCACGUGGCUCCGCCUUGCAGAAAAACAGGCUAUCAUCAGCAAGAGAAGGUAUGAUAUCGGAGGGCUAGCGCGUGAAACACGCAUCCCCGUUAUUUUUCCUUGAUUCUCAUCAUGAUUUAGAAGGCUUACGAGUACUCCCAUGCAUAAAAUAAAUAUGAAAGGAGAUAAAAGAUCUCCUUGUCGCAAACCCGUUUUGGAGUUAUAUUUUCUCUUGGCUGACUAUUGAAUAAGAC
RNAcentral lists this long non-coding RNA (604 nucleotides) under Brassica napus (rape). RNAcentral describes it as "long non-coding RNA (BNAP_LNC000569)". The record is from RNAcentral. Lineage: Eukaryota; Viridiplantae; Streptophyta; Magnoliopsida; Brassicales; Brassicaceae.